RNAcentral lists this transfer RNA (69 nucleotides) under Sphaerodactylus townsendi. RNAcentral describes it as "tRNA-Thr". The record is from RNAcentral. Lineage: Eukaryota; Metazoa; Chordata; Lepidosauria; Squamata; Sphaerodactylidae.
GCCAUUGCUCAGUAGUAGAACAUUUGUUUGGUAUGCAGAAGGUACUAGGUUCAAUCCCCAGCAUCUGCA